This 521-nucleotide long non-coding RNA is filed under the name Gallus gallus (chicken). Lineage: Eukaryota; Metazoa; Chordata; Aves; Galliformes; Phasianidae. The record is from RNAcentral.
GGCCACUCCAAGCUUUGUUGUCCAUGCAUGUCACUAUGCGGUCGCCUUUCAGCUGGUACCCUGGUGAGCAGUAGUACUCGCACCUGGAGCCAAAGUAGGCACCAUCCAAGCACUUGAAGCCCCCGUUGGUUGGCAUGGAGAGUGUGGGGCAGCGCUUCUGUUUGCACAGCACUUUCCCAGACCAGCGUUUGCUCGACUGACAGAUGAGCUGCUGAGGGCCAUGCAGUUCAUAGCCUUUUUGACAACGAAUAUCACAUCUUGUCCCCAGUACGUUCUUGUAAUAUUCCCCUUGAGGUGUCCUGCAGUUUGCAUAACCAUGUUUCACCUUAAUGGGAGAGCACCAUGGUGUUUCUUUAUAUCUACUGCGUGCAUAUGCAUCUUCGUCAUCUUCAAGGGGUGAAAUUCCAGAUCCCUCGUACUCCCGGCUGGGGCAGGCGGCCAGGGCGAGCAGAGCGGCCAGGCGCAGGCAGCGGCUCGCCAUGCUGCGCGGCGGCGACGGCCCUUCCCGGCUGAGGGCUGCG